Molecule: ribosomal RNA, 91 nt
Organism: Hucho hucho (huchen)
Lineage: Eukaryota; Metazoa; Chordata; Actinopteri; Salmoniformes; Salmonidae
Source: Ensembl
GCCAGCAGCAUACCACCCUGCAUCCCACUGCUGGCUUGCUUCUGAAGCUAAGCAGGGUUGGUCCUGGAUGGGAGACCAGAUGCUGCUGGAA